Non-coding RNA from Oryza barthii, 209 nucleotides. The record is from Rfam. NCBI's taxonomy places the organism in Eukaryota, Viridiplantae, Streptophyta, Magnoliopsida, Poales, Poaceae.
AAUAAGUGCAGUUUUGCACUAUUCACGUUCGACGUUUAACCGUUCGUCUUAUUUGAAAUUUUUUUUAUGAUUAGUAUUUUUAUUACUAUUAGAUGAUAAAAUAUGAAUAGUACUUUAUGUGUGAUUAAAUAUUUUUAUUUUUUUCACAAAUUUUUCAAAUAAGACGGACGGUCAAACGUUGGGCACGAAUAUCCACGACUGCACUUAUU